This 500-nucleotide ribosomal RNA is filed under the name uncultured bacterium. RNAcentral's name for it is "bacterial SSU rRNA". It matches the Rfam family "Bacterial small subunit ribosomal RNA", at positions 1014 to 1512 of the family's 1533-position model. The record is from RNAcentral.
UUUCCUUCGGGACUGCUGCACAGGUGCUGCAUGGCUGUCGUCAGCUCGUGUCGUGAGAUGUUGCGUUAAGUCGCGCAACGAGCGCAACCCCUGUCCUUAGUUGCCAUCAGGUAAAGCUGGGCACUCUAGGGAGACAAACCCUCUUUGAGGGUGGGAAGGUGGGGAUGACGUCAAGUCAGGAUGGCCCUUACGGCCUGGGCUGCACACGUACUACAAUGCCCGGUACAGAGGGAAGCAAUACCGCGAGGUGGAGCAAAUCCUCAAAACCGGGCCCAGUUCAGAUUGUAGUCUGCAACUCGACUACAUGAAGUUGGAAUCGCUAGUAAUGGCGCAUCAGCUACGGCGCCGUGAAUACGUUCCCGGGCCUUGUACACACCGCCCGUCACGUCAUGAAAGCCGGUUUCGCCCGAAGUGCGUUUGCCAACCCGCAAGGGGGGCGGCGCCCUAAGGUGAGGCUGGUGAUUGGGACGAAGUCGUAACAAGGUAACCGUAGGGGAACC